RNAcentral lists this transfer RNA (71 nucleotides) under Fusarium denticulatum. RNAcentral's name for it is "tRNA-Leu". It matches the Rfam family "tRNA". From Rfam's summary of the family: Transfer RNA (tRNA) molecules are approximately 80 nucleotides in length. Their secondary structure includes four short double-helical elements and three loops (D, anti-codon, and T loops). Further hydrogen bonds mediate the characteristic L-shaped molecular structure. tRNAs have two regions of fundamental functional importance: the anti-codon, which is responsible for specific mRNA codon recognition, and the 3' end, to which the tRNAs corresponding amino acid is attached (by aminoacyl-tRNA synthetases). tRNAs cope with the degeneracy of the genetic code in two manners: having more than one tRNA (with a specific anti-codon) for a particular amino acid; and 'wobble' base-pairing, i.e. permitting non-standard base-pairing at the 3rd anti-codon position. Lineage: Eukaryota; Fungi; Ascomycota; Sordariomycetes; Hypocreales; Nectriaceae. The record is from RNAcentral.
AGGGAAAUCGUAUAAAUAAUACGCCUGAUUAAGAUAAGCAGGAGAUUUAGGUGAAAAUCCUAGUUUCCCCC